UACAGAGGGUGCAAGCGUUAAUCGGAAUUACUGGGCGUAAAGCGCGCGUAGGUGGUUUGUUAAGUUGGAUGUGAAAUCCCCGGGCUCAACCUGGGAACUGCAUCCAAAACUGGCAAGCUAGAGUAUGGUAGAGGGUGGUGGAAUUUCCUGUGUAGCGGUGAAAUGCGUAGAUAUAGGAAGGAACACCAGUGGCGAAGGCGACCACCUGGACUGAUACUGACGCUCAUGUGCGAAAGCGUGGGGAGCAAACAGG
RNAcentral lists this ribosomal RNA (253 nucleotides) under uncultured bacterium. RNAcentral describes it as "partial 16S ribosomal RNA". It matches the Rfam family "Bacterial small subunit ribosomal RNA", at positions 524 to 776 of the family's 1533-position model. The record is from RNAcentral.